Non-coding RNA from Tetranychus urticae (two-spotted spider mite), 360 nucleotides. The record is from RefSeq and is a predicted model, not a curated record. Lineage: Eukaryota; Metazoa; Arthropoda; Arachnida; Trombidiformes; Tetranychidae.
CAUUUAGUGUAUGAAAAGCUCCAUUUAAUUAGCGAGUCGAGGUUUAAAAUGAAAACAAAGAUGAAGAUACUGGAAGUUAUGGACAGAAUAAUUGGACCAUACAAUGGAGUAAAAGCAGGAGAUUUGGCGACCAUUUCUAAACAUUUUUUCGUUAUCUUUAUAUUGGAAAAUGCAUCAACUUUAAUGCUUAUAACAGUCAACACAAGAUCACUCUUGGAGUGAAAUAUUGGUAAUGGCAUAGUAUUAAUAAUACGAAAAAUAAUGGAAAGUGAUAAAGUGAAUAGAGAAAUUUGAUGAAUGUCUUUCAUUAACUUUAAUUUAUCAGUCAUUGAAUAAUCAUCUUGUAAAUAAAAAUAUGAA